UACGUAGGGGGCAAGCGUUGUCCGGGUUUACUGGGCGUAAAGAGCGUGUAGGCGGCCAAGCAGGUCCGUUGUGAAAACUGGAGGCUUAACCUCCAGACGUCGACGGAAACCGCGUGGCUAGAGUCCGGAAGAGGAGAGUGGAAUUCCUGGUGUAGCGGUGAAAUGCGCAGAUAUCAGGAAGAACACCAAUGGCGAAGGCAGCUCUCUGGGACGGUACUGACGCUGAGACGCGAAAGCGUGGGGAGCGAACAGG
Molecule: ribosomal RNA, 253 nt
Filed under: uncultured bacterium
Lineage: Bacteria
Description: partial 16S ribosomal RNA
Rfam family: Bacterial small subunit ribosomal RNA
Source: RNAcentral